CAGGAGGGGAACUAACCCGGCGAAAGUCGGACUAAUACCGCAUAAAACAGGGGCACCGCAUGGUGAUAUUUGUUAAAGAAAUUCGCUGAUAGAUGGGCAUGCGUUCCAUUAGGUAGUUGGUGAGGUAACGGCUCACCAAGCCGACGAUGGAUAGGGGAACUGAGAGGUUGGUCCCCCCACACUGGUACUGAGACACGGACCAGACUCCUACGGGGAGGCAGCAGUGAGGAAUAUUGGUCAAUGGGCGGGAGCCUGAACCAGCCAAGUCGCGUGGAAAAGGAAGAAGGAUCUAUGGUUACGUAAACUUCUUUUGCGAGGGAAUAAAGUGCAGGACGUGUCCUGUUUUGUAUGUACCCUGAGAAUAAGGAUCGGCUAACUCCGUGCCAGCAGCAGC
Molecule: ribosomal RNA, 394 nt
Filed under: uncultured bacterium
Lineage: Bacteria
Description: bacterial SSU rRNA
Rfam family: Bacterial small subunit ribosomal RNA
Source: RNAcentral